GACAGCAGUAGCCGCGGUAAUACGGAGGGAGCUAGCGUUGUUCGGAAUUACUGGGCGUAAAGCGCGCGUAGGCGGUUACUCAAGUCAGAGGUGAAAGCCCGGGGCUCAACCCCGGAACUGCCUUUGAAACUAGGUGACUAGAAUCUUGGAGAGGUCAGUGGAAUUCCGAGUGUAGAGGUGAAAUUCGUAGAUAUUCGGAAGAACACCAGUGGCGAAGGCGACUGACUGGGCAAGUAUUGACGCUGAGGUGCGAAAGCGUGGGGAGCAAACAGGAUUAGAUACCCCAGUAGUCCCUGUCUCUUAUAA
Molecule: ribosomal RNA, 306 nt
Filed under: uncultured bacterium
Lineage: Bacteria
Description: partial 16S ribosomal RNA
Rfam family: Bacterial small subunit ribosomal RNA
Source: RNAcentral